GGAGAGCGAGAAACUGACGGAGAAGACUAGUCGGUUUUUAACAUGGCGGAGACCGUACGCUCGCUCUUCGACUACCGGGAGCCACCGACCCUGGACAGCGACGGAGAGGGAACCAAACCGGCGCCGACACCUCGGGGACGCGGUUGUGGGAGGAAAAGGAAGGGAACGCCGGUGAAAGUGUGCGACCGCGUCUUUGUCACAGAGGAUGAGGAGGAGAGCUCCGAACACAGCUACGGUCCAGGUGAUGGUAAGGGGGCUGCAGAGAACAAACGACCAACCCUGGAUGGCCCUUGCUACAUCAAUGACCCUGUUCAGAUCUGUACAAGGUGUCGAAAGCGUUCCACAGGGAUGCUGGCCCAUGUUGACUCCAAUGCUUCCUACAGUUGUGUCAAGUUGGCUGGAUGUCCUUUUAGGUGGUGGACCAUUCUUGAUACACACAGGAAACUGUUGAGCGGGAAAAACCCGCAGCGUUGCAGUUCUUGACACAAAGCGUCUGACACCUACUACCAUACCCGGUUCGAAGGCAAACUUUUGUCUUGCCCAUUCACCCUCUGAAUGGCACACAUACACAAUUCAUGUCUCAAUUUUCUCAAGGCUUAAAAGUCCUUCUUUAACCUGUCUCUUCCCCUUCAUCUACACCGAUUGAAGUGGAUUUAACAAGUGACAUCAAUAAGGGAUCAUAGCUUUCACCUGGUCAGUCUAUGACAUGGAAAGAGCAGGUGUUCCUAAUGUUUUGUAUAGUUGUGCUGUUUUGCGUGGGGUAGCUUUGUGUGUGUGUGUGUGUGUGUGUGUCUUAGCUUCAGAUAGCAGACACAAUUUUUGCUGAUUUUGUAUGCAUAGGUCCACGUGUGCUGAUCUAUCUAUCUACCUCCCUCCCUCUCCUUCUCUCUCUUUCCCCAUCUCUCUUCCUCCCUCCCCCCAUCUCUCUUCCUCUCUCCCCCCUUUCAGCAGUGGGUCUUCAGAGCUGGGUGAGGAGGGAUCCAGUGGGGGCAGGGGGGCGGCGGUGAUGUUCCCCCCUCCUCCAAACUGCCGCAUCCGAGAAGUACACUGUGGGAGCCAGGUGCGUCUGGUCGUCAUAGCGAUCCGAGACAUCACCAAGGGAGAGGAGAUCACCGUUGACUACAGCCUGACCGAGUGGGGAGACAACACUAUGGGUUUCCGUGGUACUGUCUCCUCAGGGAGAUAUGAGUGUAUCGCUGACCCUGAGAACAACCGUAUCAAAAAGGAGGAAGAGUCUGGGCUUGUGCCCUCCUCUCUCUCAGCCCAGGACUACCUCACCCCUUCCUGGCCCCUGUCCCCCUCUUCCUCCCCCCUCUCCCACUCCAACGCCAGCGACUCUGAUCCCCAGAAUGAGGAGGGCGAGGACGGGGGUCAGAGACGCACACCUCGCCGCCGAAAACGCCGCCGGACCACCACACCUUCCAAAAAGAGAACCACCCCUCACCGGACAUCCCCGGGCCGCCCUCCCCUCUCCUCUUCAUACCGCCCCCUCACCUUCUCCCCCCCUCCCUCCUCCUCCACCUCUUCUCGCCCUUCUCUGUUCAAAUCCCCCGCUCCGUUGGGGCCCAACACGACGGCGAACAUCAGUAUUAACAUCGCCAGGGGGGUUGGCAUGGGCGUGCCCCCCCAGAAGCUGAGCUGCGCCUACUGCGGCCGCCACUUCCGCUCACUGGGGCGCCACCUGGACAAGCACCACACCAACCAGCCUGAGAUCCGCGCCGCGCUCAUCGAGCGCUUUAUGCCCCACCUGGCGGCCGCGCACGCCACACACCACACUCAGUCCCAGCAGCAACCUCGGUCAUCAUCAGGAGUGGAGCAAAAUUCCCACAAGCCACCACUGGGGAGCGCCACCGCGUUCUCCCUGUCUCCUCAACGUCCGGCCACCCAAUCCCCUUCCUCCGCCGUUGGGGGAAACUCCUCCCCCCUGGUAUUAACUCCACCCCGAGGGCGCAGUGCGGUGACCGUGUCCGUUCUGAAGAGAAGCCCGCCUCCGGCGGCUGUGACCCCGCCCAGAAAGGCGGGACUGCGCAAAGUGAAGAAGGAAAAAGAGGAGGAGGAAGAGGAGAACGAUCUGGUGGAAGUUGAGCUGGUGAAGCCCAAAGAAGAGGCAGAGGCGGCUUUUCCCCAUGUCUUUCAGCAGACGCCCAAGGAGAUGGAACAGCUGCCGAAAGAGGAUGAAAAUGAAGAAGAGGAGGAGGCGAACGGUAUGAUGGAAGACGACAGUGGAGCGGAGGAUAAGGAGAAGGAGUUAUUGAGUUCGGGACGUCUCCACAUGCUGCCCCUCCUCUCCUCCCUGUCUUCCCUGGUCCUCUACCUCCGCAGGCUCCAGCACUCAGCCUUCCUCUCCCUGUCCCGCCAGCUCCAAUCCGCCGAGGCCUGGCGCCUCCUGUGCCACUCCUCCCUCGCCCUGCUCAUACUCUACAACCGUCGCCGCGAGUGCGAGGUCUCCAAACUGGCCAUAGCCGAAUACCGUUCCCGUGUCACCCCCCAGUGCCCCGUGCCAGUGCCCCCCGGCGCCCCGCCCGCCCUCACACCCCUGGAGGCAUCGCUUUCGCCCUUUGAGCGUCUCGUGCUUCCACAUUUGCCUCGGGUAGGUGUCCAGGGCAAACGAGGAAGAGUCCAACCUCUUAUCCUGCCACCGCACUGCGAGCCGUGUCUGGAACUCCUCCUCCAGACCAGGCAAGAUGUCGGCGUCGAUCCCCAGAACCCGUACGUCUUCGCCCGGCCGUACCACUCCCCAGCCACCCCCCUCCGUGGCACCGACCUCCUCCGGAGCCUGGCCCGCUCCAGUGGCACCCGGAACCCCCGCGCCCUCACCCAGACCCGAGUCCGGCGCCAGGUCGCCAUCUUGACGCAGCUGCUAUUGCUCGGCGAGGGGGAGGAGCCAGGACAGCCGGGUGGGAACGCCGUAGAGCGCCUGGAACACUUCCUGGAGCGCGAGUACCACGUGACGCAGAGCUGCGGCGGGAUUGGCCAGGACCCGGGGCUGAUGGGUAGAGUGGGGCGUGUGGUGCUGUGCGGGGAGAGAGACGGCGUGCUGUUCCGGGGGAUGAGCCUCCACCACAUCUGUCUGGAGCUUGACGUGAUGUCAGGCAACUCGGCUGACUCGUACUCGGAGGGCGACUCUGACGGUGAGGGGCGGAAGGAGAAGGGCGAGGUGGCCCCUCCCAGCCUGCUGAUGGUGCGGAAGGGCAGGACCAACAGCAGGACGCCGCGUGCCAGGAAACUCAAGGUCACGCCCUCCUCCACAUCGCCCCUCUCCCCCUCGCUCCCCGGCCGCAGAAGAGGCUCAGGUGGGCCCAAAUCAGGAAAACGCGGCGUCCUCAAGCGCCCGUGGUCGGACGCAGAGCGCGCUGCUGUGGAGGAGCACCUGACCUGCAACAUCGCCGAGCUGCGCGUGCCUGCCAAGGCCGACUGCGAGCGCUGCCUGCAGAGCUGCCCGCUGCUGGUCACCAACCGGCGCGACUGGCGGGCCAUCAAAUUCUACUGUCACAACCGUAUCCAGCUGCUUAAGAAGAACCAGCGGCGUGAGGACGACGGGACGCCCAUCAUGGUGUGCUGAGAAGACUGACGGAGAGACUGAGAGAUUGAUGGACAGACACAACAAUAGCUCCACAGUAUCCACAAUAGCGUGCUACUUGGAAUGAAGGAAGCCAAAACAGAGGCGUGGUCAACUCCGUAACGUUACAGCAGUGACUGUCAACUCUGUAAUAUUUUUUCCGCUGACGGUCCAAAAACAAGAGUUGAUGCUUAAGGAACAGAGUUGACGCUUAAGGAAGCAAUGUAGUGGGCGUGCCUUUGAAGUGGUACGCUAAUGUGGGUAUUGGAAUGUAGCCAACAUCUCAUUAAGCAGGUUUCCAUCCAACCUUUUUAUGUAGUAAAGUACGGGUCAAUGUCAGGUCAAAAAUGUAGUGACAGGCCUGAUGGAAACAACAUUUUUCGGUACACUUUCCAAAUGUCAAAAAAACGAAAUACGCUAGACAAGGUGGGAUAUUUUGUGUCGGUAAAAUGAAGUAUGCGAGAAAUGUCGGUGGAACUAUUGAUGUAAUAACCAUCAUAUCGAAGUAAACUUGGGGUCGCGCGAUGACAUGUGUGGCCCUCCCACUACGGUGCGUCAGGAAAGCAUGCAGUUUAUUAGGCUACAGAUUAAAUACAUUGGGAUGAACUUCACAGGGUGGUGAAAGUGCAAGGUGAUGAGCUUGAUGCUCCUGUUUAAUAAAUAUCAAGGGUCUUAUUUUGGUGAUCAUCGAUGCGUGGCAGCCGUUUGACAAAUAAAGAAAACUCGCUCUUUUGGCCAUAAUAAUCUCAUGUAGCCUAUACGUGUGUUCUAGCCAACAGCGCGCACGUGCCAGUACCAGAGUGGGCAGACUCGCUAUAUAACAGAACAGUUUUUGUGGGAAAACCAUCUGUAGAGUUGAAAAUGUGAUGGAAACCCAUUUAACUUGUUUUUUUUUAUUUGGUACAUGGGAAUUUAACAGCAAAAGGUAUUUGUAUGUGCACUACAUCAUCACGCACAGUCAAUUUGAUGGAAACGCAUCUCUGGUGGGAAAAUGCAGAUUGUUUUUGUGCGGAUUUGAGAAUAUCUGUCACCAAUUGGAUGGAAACCUAGCUAUUUGAUACCCUAAUAUAUUGUCCUCUGAGACAAAAAGAGGGAGAGGCUGGGGGAGUGAGAGAAGGAGUGACUGUGUAGGAGUGACAACAGCCUGUGUUGUGUAUGUGGACAUUUUAAUUUAGUUUUCGCUUGAAAACGAGAUGAACAAUGUUCAAAACGCACCACAGAUUGUUGUAUUUAGAUUUUUUUGGGACUCUGGUGUUUUUGACAUACUCAAGUGUUGUAUGGACGUUUCUGAACACACUCAAGUUAACACUAUUAGGGUUUGAGGCUGUAGUGUGUGUGUGUGUGUUUCCAGUGCUGAGAAGAUGUUAUAGGGUCUCCAACACCCAGUCCUGGAGAGUGCAUGCUUUAGUUCCAGUACUAACUCACCCGAUGAAACUACACCUGACUGAAAGACCAUGGCUAGAUCAUUAUUUAAAACGGGUGUGUUAAUAGCGCUGAGCCGGAGCAAAAGCCUGCACCCCAGGAGUGGAGCAAGAGAGCCCCUGGGUUAGAGUGAAGGGGGGGGAAGGAAACGCCACCAUCAGUGUGUUGUAAAUUUUCUUUUUGGACUACCUAAGACACUGUAUAGUCAGUUUGGGGCUUUUCCCCGCUCCCUCCUUCAAAAUGAACACUACAAGACAGCAGUUGAAUACUGCUUUGCCUAAAAUACACCAAGUAUAUUCUUGUUGUUGGCAUCUUUCUUUUAUUUUGUGCCUGUUGCACAUGUUUUCUUAAAAGCGCUUUGAAAAGGUGCAUUAGGCCGUCGGGCCAGUCUUCUGCGACGAGCAGAGUUCUGUAUUUAACUUGGCUGUGUUCUUCAAAGUGAUUUUUGGGGGGGCAAUCUUUCAGAAGAGUGGGCAUAGCUGAAUACUAUGCCACGCUAUGGUUAUUUUUUUACAUGCAGUGUUGUUGCGUCAUUUGUGUUGAUUGUUUUGCCUUUUCAGACUGACCAGUGUAGCUCCAGUCUUUUUUCAGCAACUCUGGUUUCUAUCGUUCACUGCUGUUAGAUGAUGAGCUGCUUGUAGCUCUAGUCCAGGGUGUUAGUGUGGCUUGCUAACGCUUAGGCUGGCAUUCAAUCCGAUCAGUGGUAGAUUUGCAUUAUAGCGCGCUUGACAUUUUUAAAAGUCAUUUCCGAUUAAGCCGACAUAUACAGAGUUUGCGGAAACAUUGCCUUUAAAAGGUGCAUAGCUGACAAAGUGCGGUCGGGUGGAAUCCCGGCUUGAGCCUUCACAGCUUUUGCUAGUCGCACUAACACCCUGGACCAGAGCUAGGCUUAUUUGUAGGUCUGCUGGAGCCGCAAGUAACCCGGCAUUUUGUCUUAUUGGAUUAAAACCGCACAACACCUCUUGAUAGAUAGUUGAAUUUAUUUAACAUAAUCACAUAUAAUCUUACAUUGGUUCAUGCUAUCAUCUUGCCAGUUUCGGUGUACAUAAAAAAAUAUGAUCAUUACGUAAACUGGUUUGUUUGUGCUGUCCGUAGUUUAUUUGUUCAUUUGCGAGUUGGUAUUGUACAUAGGUCUAUGGUUUUGUAAAUAUUCACAGAAAUGCAUAAAGGGGAAAAGAACUACACAAUGGCUUGGUUUUUUGUGUUAUGUUUUUAUAUAAGUCUGAAAAGUUCAGGUCAUAUUUCUGAGGUUUGAUUCUUUCAAUGUACUAACAAUGAGUGCAUCCCAAUAAUAUCUGCUUUUUUAUGUUUUAUUUAUUUCACC
Molecule: long non-coding RNA, 6305 nt
Organism: Oncorhynchus tshawytscha (Chinook salmon)
Lineage: Eukaryota; Metazoa; Chordata; Actinopteri; Salmoniformes; Salmonidae
Source: Ensembl